Molecule: long non-coding RNA, 1294 nt
Organism: Scylla paramamosain (green mud crab)
Lineage: Eukaryota; Metazoa; Arthropoda; Malacostraca; Decapoda; Portunidae
Exons: 5
Source: RefSeq, a predicted model, not a curated record
UCGGGAUUUGCGCCAUUCCAGGACCAUCGCAAAACGGAGGCUGGAUGCAGGAUGAAGUAUACACAUCCAUAAGAGUCUUUAGUGCCCUGCGGGGGGCAAGGAAGAACAGGAAGGGGAUGAAAUACAGCAAAACAUAAGAUGAUGGCCUGCAAUCCUAUUGCACCAAGAGACGACAAAGUAUGAGACGUGUCUGGCGUUCUGAUAGAGGCUCGUUGUCAUUUGUUAAUAUGGCUACCAUGUGGAGGGAGGUAAAGCGAACAGUACCAGUGUUCAGCAGGAAAAGAAGCCACUAUGUGAGAUAUUUAGCAGCAGCAGUGGUUAAGAUGCGAUAUACAGACAUAAGGAAGAGGUUCUACGUGUUUAUUAAGGAAGCCGCCAAACUAUACCCACCUCCAUCGCCCUGAGAAUCUCCGCAUCACACCGGUGGAGGGCAUCUCUAUGGCACACCUUCAAGUCUCAAGUCAAGUGGAAACAGGAGAAUUCCAUUUCUGAUGGAUUGCAUUUAUGAAUUAGAGAACUAGGAGGAUGUGGAUCUUGUAUUGAAGCGGCUAACUUGACAAGUGGUGAAAGUAGCAACAGCAGCAACAGGAGCAGCAGCAACUAUAGGAACAUCAGCAGCAGUAGCUCCAAACAAAAUCAAGAAUGCCUGCAGAAUGUCCCACUAAAAGAAAGCCUAGAGUACAGUGUCAGCAGAUAAAGUUGCCACCCACCAUUUAAAAUUGACAAUGGCUCAACUCCAGCUGCUGUAAAAUCUGCAAGUACUCACCAUGCCCCAGGUGGUGAGCACUGAUGACCCCCUGUAGGGUCUCCAGGCAAGGAAGAAACAUGGAUGAGGUUAUUGUGGAGUCACAAGGUACACCUCAAAGCACAUCACUUGCUGGCAAGCACAUGAAACCAAACCAAUCUUGCAGAUGCCAACUCGCACCAUAUCCCACACACUCCAAUGAUAACAUUUAACAUCUUCAAUGGUAUCAAGAGACUUACAGUAAAACAAUAAAAAAAUCUUGAGGUGGGAUAUCAUGCCUGUUGUGAGGCACAUCCUCCCAUCUUUUUUUCACUAAUAAUAGUCAUACAGCUUAUUUUUUCAAAUUGCUUCGUCAUUCUUGGAAACUAACACUCGUACUAUGUAAUCACAGUCUGUAUAUUUUCUGGGCACACAGCAACUCUAUUCAGUGUGUAACACGAAUUUCUGCAAAUACUGAAAGUGAAAGAACGUGUAAUUCUUAGUAGAAAAUGCGUUCUAUGCACAUGUGCAUUUUAAUCUUUUCCUGUCAGAGGAGUUUUAAAGUGUAUG